AAAAAUAGAUCUAGGAUCCUGGACUCGCUUCUCCUUCCUCACACCGCUAGGUCUGCAACGCGUGACGGGAAGAGAGCCGCCGCCUCAGGUCUCCUUCACGGUGGAGCAGCUCGUAUCACCAUUACAACCCCGAUACCCUUACCGAACUCGAAAACUAUGUUAACGAGCAGGUAAUUCGACACCGAGAGCUACAUUGCCUGCGAUCGCCAUGUGUUUUAACAGAAGAAGUCAGCCUGUGAAUGCUUCUACCACCAUGACUUGUUUGGAGCUUUGUCCUGGUUCCUAACAUCUACAUCGGAAGGUUUUGGGAGGAGAGCAGGCGCUUAUGGCUAUGUCAACCCCAGAUUUCAGCCUCUGUCUCUUCCUUAUCCCUGAUUGAGAGGCUGCAAGGUUUCGUCAAUUUUGGAAUGAAGCAGCAAAGAACCAUAGGUAAAAAGAGAAUAAUUCAAAUUAUUGUUUCUUUAUAUUUAGCCGUCUGAAAGAACCUCAAUCUCUUGCCACUUAACAGUUUUUCCUUAUUGUAUCAUGAAAAUAAUUAUUCCUUACAAAACAAGGUUGGUCAGUCCAAUCCGUCUAACCAGGUCAAUCGAGCCAAUCAAGCCGAACAAGUAGGCGGUCCAGGCAAGCCAGUCAAGUUGAUUAGCCUGAUCAAGUCAGUUAGUUUCAGUUGAGCAAAUACUACCGAGUAAGCUAAUUGAUACGGCGAUAAGGAGGAGCCCAUCUUGCACGGGUCAAUUGCCACGGUGUAGGUCAAAGUCAAGGCGGUCAAUACUAGGGCGUAAGCAAGGCUCGUACGCAAAACCCGAGCGAGAAGUGGCUACAUCGGCCGAUUGAACGAAGCACUGUCCGGUCGGCUGUUUGGAUGAACCAGUGUCUGAUCAUCCCGGUCGGCAGGAGAGUGGGCCGAUCGGACCACCCGUCCGGCUCAGGGUAUGACAUUGGAAUCGUACAUAUUAGUAAUAAACCGAUAAAAUAAUAAAAAAAAAGGAAAAGACUGAGAUAUUUAAUAAGGGGAAGAGAAAAUAAAAGAGAACACUUCAUCUAUCAUUG
Molecule: long non-coding RNA, 1050 nt
Organism: Zingiber officinale
Lineage: Eukaryota; Viridiplantae; Streptophyta; Magnoliopsida; Zingiberales; Zingiberaceae
Exons: 3
Source: RefSeq, a predicted model, not a curated record